AGAGUUUGAUCAUGGCUCAGAUUGAACGCUGGCGGUAUGCUUAACACAUGCAAGUCGAACGGUAACAGUCCCUCACCUAGAAAUUUCUUAAAAAGAGAUUUGUAGGUGAGGGAGCUGACGAGUGGCGGACGGGUGCGUAAUGUAUAGGAAUCUGCCUGGUAGUGGGGGACAACUCGGAGAAAUUCGAGCUAAUACCGCAUAAGCCCUACGGGGGAAAACGGGGGAUCUUCGGACCUCGUGCUAUUAGAUGGGCCUAUAUUAGAUUAGCUUGUUGGUGAGGUAAUGGCUUACCAAGGCGACGAUCUAUAGCUGGUCUGAGAGGAUGAUCAGCCACACUGGGACUGAGACACGGCCCAGACUCCUACGGGAGGCAGCAGUGGGGAAUAUUGGACAAUGGGCGAAAGCCUGAUCCAGCAAUACCGCGUGUGUGAAGAAGGCCUGAGGGUUGUAAAGCACUUUCAAUUGGGAGGAAUACCUAAUAGUUAAUAGCUAUUAGAUUGACA
RNAcentral lists this ribosomal RNA (503 nucleotides) under uncultured bacterium. RNAcentral's name for it is "bacterial SSU rRNA". It matches the Rfam family "Bacterial small subunit ribosomal RNA", at positions 8 to 474 of the family's 1533-position model. The record is from RNAcentral.